Molecule: long non-coding RNA, 5698 nt
Organism: Daphnia magna
Lineage: Eukaryota; Metazoa; Arthropoda; Branchiopoda; Diplostraca; Daphniidae
Exons: 2
Source: RefSeq, a predicted model, not a curated record
UGCAGCAUUGUAAACAUGACACGUCACCGUUUGCAGCAGUACACACGUUUUCCACUAGGACACCGAGGUUUCAGAUCACCCCUCCUGUGUCGUGCUGGUUCAGCAACAGGUGGACUAUUGUAGCGAACACGUGCAUGUUCGACCAUCGACAGACGUCGCACCCUCGCCAUUCGUUAUUACUGUACGGAGAGACGUAUGGACUCAUGGACUGACGGAAACGGUCAUCUUAUACCAUCCAAUUGCUGCCUCUCCGGAUUGGUGGAAUGCAUGGCACCUCAAGUAAAAGGUUAAUCUUGUCUGUCAGGGAAUAUAGAGACCGAGCCGGGAGGUAAGCAACGCCCGAAAAGACGAUCUAAAGGAAGAGGAGAAGUUGGUUGAUUAUUAGUCGCUAUUGCUUUGCUGUAGUGGGUUGCGAUCAGCAUCUCAGAAUUAACAUAACUGACGGUGAUUUGCUCGUUACACUAUUAUUCGAGAUUCUGACAAUAGUAUUCAAAUAUUUGACUUCCGUACUCUUUCACGGUAUUUCCGUAGACUUCUCACUUUUCUGUAGUUAUCACAAAAUGGAAAACAUUAAUAAUAGUUCAAGGCACAACUACACUACACUUGAGAGUGGAAGAGACUACGCAGCUGGUCGUAUGUAACGAAUGACACGCUAAUCAAAUGAUUUUGGUUGACUUAUCAGGAGCCGAAUUGCUUCUCGUCAAGAGGUUACCGACUUUAUUUCUCGAGGUUCACCCCUUCUCUCUGAGAGAAAGCGUAAAAAGGGGUAGAAAUUAAGAAAAUUUUGAGAAAUCACGGAAAUUUAAGGAUAUUCUGGGAAUAAAAAUAAAUAUCCUUAAAACGUCCGUUAAAGUGUUUUGGGUGAUUAUUUUGUUAGUUUUAACUAAUUCAGGUUUAUUAAGGUGAAUUACUUGUGAACUGUUCGUAAUUUCGUAUAUUUUUUUUACAAAACGCCAUUAUUUUGAAGUAUUCUUUUGUUAUGUAGCUAUAUAACAACUCUGUAGUCGCCAGAUAAGAAAUAUAGCAGACGGCCUAACGACUUGAAAAUGGCGCUAUGAAAAAUCUAGAAUCAGACGUUUUCUGUCUUUUGAGGAAGAAUGGACUAAAUCUGGUGUCUCAUAUGGUGGGUCAAUAUUCUUAAACAACUAAGAUAUAACAACAAGGGAUCAACCACAAGCCAAUCGGGGUUCACAUUUCGGGCAUCGGGACGGAGCUCUCGGAGUGCGAUCGGGGUAUGUAGUCGGCGAUACAAACCCGAUUCCAAUCAAUCGAUUCAUGGUAAAUCCUAAUCGAUCAAGUAUUUCGACCUGAUAACAAACCCGAUAACACCUUAUUCUGCCCGCCUACCCCGAUUAAAAUAAUUUUCUUUAAUUUGAUUCAAUUUUCUCGUGAUUUAUCCGAUGGGUAUAAGUAGGAAAAGCUAGAAAUACUUGGAAAAAUAAAGAAAUCACAUGAAAAUAGGGAAAUCGUAGAAAUUUAGGGAAACCACGGGAAUUGCGGGAAUUUACGGUCUUUUAGGAAAUCAUAGAAAUUACAACAAUUUAAGGAAUUUCACUUAAUAUGGGGUCAGUAGGGGAUGAUGCACGAGAGAGUUCGCUUGAUUCUUAGUAAACUUAGCAAAUGGGCCAAUUGUGAGGUUACUUAAAAUCUCACGCCUUGCACUGAAAAAAUGAGUACUCGGCAGACCUACGUCCGAUUUUAAGCAUGUUUCAUUAAUUAACCAGAGAGAAUCUCGACUAGGAAAAAACGUAGAGAAAUAAAGUGUAGAAUAAACUUAAAAUUUCAGCAAAAGUUUUUCCUUAAAUAACGGAUAAGCAAACGAUUUCUUUUAUCUUCUCACUUUCGCUCUAACCCUCUCGUGUAAAUUUUCCUCUCUGGUUUUGGCAGGCAGGCAGGCAUAGUUUUUCAAUUUUGCAACUCAGCAUCCGGUACAACUCUGUGGAAAUCUCUUUUUCCAAUUCCUCUGCGUGUGGCCCUCACCCUAUCUAGGAAACAUUCCUCAGCCAGUCAGCCUCAAGGGAAGAGGGGGACAUUUGGCGUUGGGGAGCUGAGUAGAAACCCGGCAAACGCUCAAGAAAGCUGUCCGAUUAAAUUUGGUUCAAACUUAAUAUACUACCUUAAGACAUCAUUUGCACCCCUUAAAACUGGUACAGAUAAAUUUUUCUUUGCAAAAGAAAUAUUUCUAUGCGAAUUAGAAGUCUCUAAUUAAAAGUUUGGGAUAGUAGGUAAAUGCCGGCCCUUAAGAUGAAUUGGAUUUAAAGGGUCCUAUUCGGUAAGCUCCUAUUUCGUUUGGUCCUAUUUCUCCGGUUACCAAGUACAGCAACAGGGUAUUAGGCUAUGGUAACAACAUCAUACAGUAACGAUUGUUUUUUUACAUCAGUGUUUUAAAGAGCAACAAUGGAAAUCCUGGUAUUUGGUGCAUCUGGAUUUUCAAUUCUAAAUUGCAUUAACAAUUUUACAGAACGAUAUCUGCGUUAGGGAACAAAAACAAUUUUUAAAGAGUUGGCAAAGGAACAGCGGACAUUAACAACUUGGGAUUACUAGGAAAUGACUGGAUUAUUGCUGGGAAUCGAAUGAAAUGGUAAACAAAUUGCAUUUCUUUACCAAUAACGGUUCCCGGUGUCUGGAAAAGAACUUGCAGUUUCCGAAGCACUGCUAGAGUGCCUGGAAUCAGACGACGGUUUUUUCAGUUCAUUUCUUUGCGACCACCUUGACAAGACGGGAGAGGUUGGUAUUAUAAUGGGAUCAUUGGAUCUGCCAAUUGAAUGUGAUAGUUCCAGGGUUAAUGAUGACUGCUUCACUUGGCGGGCUCGAUUCCUCCUGGGAUCUAGCAAAGCAUUGCAGAAACUUCCAUCCUUGCGCUGGUCGAAUGUACAUGAGACUGGCUGAUCUGGAAUAGAUUCACUAGAGUCAUUUCCCUCUUUACGUGUAGAUAGCGUCUCCACCGACAGUCGAGUAAGUGAUCCGUUCCCCCCUUCCGACAGAGUCCACUGGUGUGAUUGUCCAAUAUGAGAUUGCUGAUGAGCACUUUUCAAUCGAUUGGGACGACGGUUUGUCGAUACAACUAGCUCUUCAGUUUUUCUGGCAAAAUUCGGAUUUACUGACGGACGGAUGGGUUCCAGCUGCUUCAACGGUAUGCCGUAAUUCUCCAAAUCGACGGACGAUAGUCCCGUCAUUUUCAGUAUGGAAGGAUAUCGAACUUUUAACGAAUGAGGAGGAAGCGGUUCGUCAUUGUUGUACCUGUGAUGUUUUUUUGGCAACGGAGACGAAGGAGAUGUGGAAGUUGACGACACCGAUUGACUCUGAUGCAUCGAGUUCUUGACAGCAUAUCUUUCUUCGACGUGACGCAAGCAAUGUAUAAGAUCGCGCUUCUGGGAGGCGGUCAAUGUGCGAAAAUUGGCAAUAAGUAUUUUAAGCUCUUCUCCGGUGAACUGAUCAAAUGAGCCAAAUGGGGUUUUAUCGUUUUGGCUGCUGCUUAUUGUAUCUUCUAGCGACAAUGAAGGCACUCCAGAGAUAAACUCUGAAGAAUAGUUUGACGGCAUUUCUUCUGGCUCGCCGAUACUAGAGGACUGAACAGAUGACGGCGUCGUCGGAAUUGCGGCGGGAGAUUGAAUAGGACGCAAAAGACCAGCCUCUUGUAAAUUUUUAAUUAACGAUGCGAUGUCAAAGGACGUUGGACCACUGGUGGUUUGUCCAAAGUUUAUAAGUGGCGCAGAACGUUCUAGAAAACGAGUAACACUUUCGAUAGCCUGGGAGGCUGCCUUGGCUUUAACUCCAUCCAAAAUUCCAGCACAAACUAAUCCUUUUAAUUUCUCUUUUGAUGUGUCAAGCAAGUCGACAGCAAACGUAGCAUUUUCUUGCAACAACUGAGACGAACUUCCCGUUUGGCAGCGUUCGGCUGAAAGAGCUCGUGUUAGCAACUUUGUAAUGCUCGGGCCAAGUGAUCCCAGGCUGUCCUCAAGCGCGACUAGCAUACGCAGUACUUGUAUUAAAGUUGGGUCGCACGAAAUCCAAUCGUUUGCGGAUUGGGAUGAACUGCCACCGACAACCGAAAUAUCCUUAGACUUGUGAAGAAUCCGUAAUUCUUCGAAAAAGGAUGACUUGAGAGGAUGGUCAGCAUUGGCUGGACUUUUGAUAGGUUGUUGAAGAUUUGGAGGGAGAUUUUUAAUUUUUGAUCCCUCAGAAUCCAUUCCUUUUUUGAGAUCAGGUGUUGAUUUAAUUUCGUUCGAGAUUUUUUUCCAGCCAAAUUGGAGCCGCCGCUGACCUUCGCUAUUAGAACCGAAAGCUUUGCCUUUGAGGGUGUCAGCUUGGUCAGUUUGGUCGUUGGCUAAUCUGUACUUGUUCAUUAAUUCCGUUUUCUUAGCUUCAAUUUCCUUUUCAUCUAGUCUUUGCAUUCGCUCGAACCAAACCUUGAACCACUCGCGCUUAAAGUCAUGCAUGUACGGAUUUUUUCCUUGUUUUUCGGUCUCCGAAAAGCGUCUCUUCCAGAAAAUUUCCCACUCGAUGGUGUAUAGCGGAUGGUCUUGUGGACGCUCCUUGUAAAUUCGCUGUUUUUGGCUUAAUGCUUCUUUGAAUUCCUUUAAUUUUUCUUCAACUUUUGCCAUUAAGUGAAUUUCAUUCGUUGUUUUUGUUGCCGUUAUCUUUUUGUGGUUAUUUUCUUUCCGCUGUUUCUUCGGAGUUUGACGGUUUCUACCACAUCGUCUAACUAAAUCCUCACGGCGUUCUUUAUCGUACUCGGACCGAGCAUCACUCGUCGACGACUGUCGCAUUUCAGUAUAACGCCGUUGGCGUCUCCGAGAGCGUCCACUGGAAGCGCGGCCUGAACGUAAUCGCUUUGGAGAUGGAGAUCGAGACCUGGAAACAGUAACACGACUCAUGGAACUGCAUACUGAACGUAAUUGCUUCGGAGAUCGAGAAUGGCGCCUACAGGAUUAGCAUAACUUAGAUGUCACGAUUCAUAUGAACAUGUACUAUAUGUUAAGGUACCUCGACACUGAACGUGAUACGACGCGAUUAAGAGCGUUCAAAGCGGAUUCGACCUUUUUUUGAACGAUUUCCUCUUCGACUGUGAUGACUUCAUCACAUUCUGCAGAUUGACACACAGGAAUUUCCGCUGACAAUUCCUGUUUGUCUCCUGAAACUGACUGCGCUUGCACAUCCAAAGGCUUCGCUUUUUCGCGCCAUGUGGUUCUGCAGCUACCUUCAAUGGCGAAUAUUACGUCUUGAUAUUUUUAAAAUAAAAAGCUUUAUACCUGUUUUGCUUGGGACACGAAGCGCCGCAACACCAAUACGUUUUUCGCACGUUUCACUUUGGAAUAGCAAACAUAUAUUAACAAAAUAAUGGCGAGCAAAUAGUGCAGUAAAAUUACCCGUCAGUUUCGAAAAUCGAUUCAUCUGAUGACAGAGUGAUAGCUUCAUCGAUCGCUAUUGCUGUACGACCCUUUUCGAUGGGGAGCGCACAUUUGUCAGCUAUCUCCAUUCCAGCGUUAUUUGUCAAACCUUAAAGAAAAAAGGUAACAAAAACCAAAUUAUUUCCGAUCCUAGUGAGUAGCUUCGUUUAACUACCAGAACCUAAAUGCAGGGCGAUAGAGAAUUCGGAUUUUCCGUCCUUGGCACAUUCCCCGGAUUUCAUGUCAGUAAAUGGAGAGCCAAUGUCGUCAUAAAGCAAAUCUGGCGUCUCUCUUGAAUAGGAAUUACG